This 108-nucleotide ribosomal RNA is filed under the name Parageobacillus galactosidasius. Its description in RNAcentral is "Geobacillus galactosidasius partial 16S ribosomal RNA". It matches the Rfam family "Bacterial small subunit ribosomal RNA", at positions 1 to 102 of the family's 1533-position model. Lineage: Bacteria; Bacillati; Bacillota; Bacilli; Caryophanales; Anoxybacillaceae. The record is from RNAcentral.
CUUUUUGGAGAGUUUGAUCCUGGCUCAGGACGAACGCUGGCGGCGUGCCUAAUACAUGCAAGUCGAGCGGACCGAACGGAAGCUUGCUUCUGUUCGGUUAGCGGCGGA